CUCUGUGACUCCUACGGGAGGCAGCAGUGGGGAAUAUUGCACAAUGGGCGCAAGCCUGAUGCAGCCAUGCCGCGUGUAUGAAGAAGGCCUUCGGGUUGUAAAGUACUUUCAGCAGUGAGGAAGGUGGGUAUGUUAAUAGCAUACUCAUUUGACGUUAGCUGCAGAAGAAGCACCGGCUAACUCCGUGCCAGCAGCCGCGGUAAUACGGAGGGUGCGAGCGUUAAUCGGAAUUACUGGGCGUAAAGCGCAUGCAGGUGGUUUGUUAAGUCAGAUGUGAAAGCCCGGGGCUCAACCUCGGAAUUGCAUUUGAAACUGGCAAACUAGAGUACUGUAGAGGGGGUAGAAUUUCAGGUGUAGCGGUGAAAUGCGUAGAGAUCUGAAGGAAUACCGGUGGCGAAGGCGGCCCCCUGGACAGAUACUGACACUCAGAUGCGAAAGCGUGGGGAGCAAACAGGAUUAUAUACCCUGGUAG
This 472-nucleotide ribosomal RNA is filed under the name uncultured bacterium. Its description in RNAcentral is "bacterial SSU rRNA". It matches the Rfam family "Bacterial small subunit ribosomal RNA", at positions 328 to 793 of the family's 1533-position model. The record is from RNAcentral.